CCUACGGGUGGCUGCAGUGGGGAAUAUUGGACAAUGGGGGCAACCCUGAUCCAGCCAUGCCGCGUGUGUGAAGAAGGCCCUCGGGUUGUAAAGCACUUUCAGUGAGGAAGAACGCCUGGUGGUUAAUACCCAUCAGGAAAGACAUCACUCACAGAAGAAGCACCGGCUAACUCCGCGCCAGCAGCCGCGGUAAUACGGAGGGUGCGAGCGUUAAUCGGAAUUACUGGGCGUAAAGCGCGCGUAGGUGGCUUGAUAAGCCGGUUGUGAAAGCCCCGGGCUCAACCUGGGAACGGCAUCCGGAACUGUCAAGCUAGAGUGCAGGAGAGGAAGGUAGAAUUCCCGGUGUAGCGGUGAAAUGCGUAGAGAUCGGGAGGAAUACCAGUGGCGAAGGCGGCCUUCUGGACUGACACUGACACUGAGGUGCGAAAGCGUGGGUAGCAAACAGGAUUAGAUACCCUGGUAGUC
This 465-nucleotide ribosomal RNA is filed under the name Vreelandella stevensii. RNAcentral describes it as "partial 16S ribosomal RNA". It matches the Rfam family "Bacterial small subunit ribosomal RNA", at positions 338 to 795 of the family's 1533-position model. The record is from RNAcentral. Lineage: Bacteria; Pseudomonadati; Pseudomonadota; Gammaproteobacteria; Oceanospirillales; Halomonadaceae.